RNAcentral lists this non-coding RNA (608 nucleotides) under unclassified sequences. RNAcentral describes it as "ROOL RNA". It matches the Rfam family "ROOL RNA". Rfam says of the family: Firmicutes, Fusobacteria (1 example), Tenericutes (1 example). Environment (Cow rumen (57)) The record is from Rfam by way of RNAcentral.
UAAAAUAAUAAGACCUUGAUAACUCAGUGCAGAGCGUGUAAACUGCACGUGCUGAGAAAUGCUGAAUAGUCAGUCAAGUCUGUUAAAGGAUACUUUGCAGAAUUGGUUGUCAAUCAUAUGUGAGUAUGAUUGAGAAGAAUUGAGUUUCGACACUAAGGCAUUGUGCAUUGAAUAUCGCAACCAAAGGUAGGGUGCGAGUCGGCAGGGUAAUAGAAAGCAUUGAUGAUAAGUCAAUGCCGAAGCCAAGUUAGAUAGUAACAGAUGGUGCUGACUAUAAACCUUGGUAAUACCAAUAACCUGUUUGGCAGUGAAGCAGAGAAAUCUGUGUAUAAGACUUGCAUGCAACUCCGAGUAGCCUAAUGCCGAGCCAAAUGUUGAUAGCAAGCGAUAUAAGAACGCUAAAAAACAUUUGAUGAAAUGUAGGUGAAAGGUGUGGGUAAUCAAUCCCACCUACACUAAGACUGAUUGAUAAACAAUGUUUAUCAGUUAGAUGUAGGAAAAGCAAGAACUUGCAAUCCUUGCUCAUCGCCUGCAUGUAGUGACCGAAUAUGGUUGAAGAUAUAUCAGAUGUAGGGUGAACAAAAGCCCAUCAAUGAUUCUUAUUAUUU